CGCCUCUUGGCUUAGUGGCAUAGCGUCGCUCUAGUAAAGCGAAGGUCGCGAGUUCAAUUCUCGCAGAGGCCA
This 72-nucleotide transfer RNA is filed under the name Olpidium bornovanus. It matches the Rfam family "tRNA". Rfam says of the family: Transfer RNA (tRNA) molecules are approximately 80 nucleotides in length. Their secondary structure includes four short double-helical elements and three loops (D, anti-codon, and T loops). Lineage: Eukaryota; Fungi; Olpidiomycota; Olpidiomycetes; Olpidiales; Olpidiaceae. The record is from Rfam by way of RNAcentral.